CCUACGGGUGGCAGCAGUGAGGAAUAUUGGUCAAUGGACGAGAGUCUGAACCAGCCAAGUAGCGUGAAGGAUGACUGCCCUAUGGGUUGUAAACUUCUUUUAUAUGGGAAUAAACUGUUCCACGUGUGGGAUUUUGUAUGUACCAUAUGAAUAAGGAUCGGCUAACUCCGUGCCAGCAGCCGCGGUAAUACGGAGUAUCCGAGCUUUAUCCGGAUUUAUUGGGUUUAAAGGGAGCGUAGGUGGAUUGUUAAGUCAGUUGUGAAAGUUUGCGGCUCAACCGUAAAAUUGCAGUUGAUACUGGCAGUCUUGAGUACAGUAGAGGUGGGCGGAAUUCGUGGUGUAGCGGUGAAAUGCUUAGAUAUCACGAAGAACUCCGAUUGCGAAGGCAGUUCACUGGACUGCAACUGACACUGAGGCUCGAAAGUGUGGGUAUCAAACAGGAUUAGAGACCCUUGUAGUC
RNAcentral lists this ribosomal RNA (460 nucleotides) under uncultured bacterium. Its description in RNAcentral is "partial 16S ribosomal RNA". It matches the Rfam family "Bacterial small subunit ribosomal RNA", at positions 338 to 795 of the family's 1533-position model. The record is from RNAcentral.